GGGCUGGUAGCUUAGUCUGGCUGGAGCACAAAUUUUAUGCUUAGUCGGCUGAUAACCGAGCGGCCGCCGGUUCAAAUCCGGCCCAGCCCA
This 90-nucleotide transfer RNA is filed under the name Candidatus Micrarchaeota archaeon RBG_16_49_10. RNAcentral's name for it is "tRNA-Ile". It matches the Rfam family "tRNA". From Rfam's summary of the family: Transfer RNA (tRNA) molecules are approximately 80 nucleotides in length. Their secondary structure includes four short double-helical elements and three loops (D, anti-codon, and T loops). Lineage: Archaea; Nanobdellati; Microcaldota. The record is from RNAcentral.